AGGGUGUAAACGCUGCAGACUUGGUGUUGGGAACCCUCCGGGGUGGCUCAGUGCCGGAGAGAAGUUGUUAAGUCUGCUACUUGGGAGGUACGUCCGCAAGGAUGAAACUUAAAGGAAUUGGCGGGGGGAGGCACCGCAACGGGUGGAGCGUGCGGCUUAAUUGGAUUCAACACCGGAAACUCACCAGGGAGACUGUUACAUGAAACCCAGACUAAUGAUCUUGGUUGAUUUUCAGAGAGGUGGUGCAUGGCGUCAGUGACU
This 261-nucleotide ribosomal RNA is filed under the name uncultured archaeon. RNAcentral's name for it is "partial 16S ribosomal RNA". It matches the Rfam family "Archaeal small subunit ribosomal RNA", at positions 748 to 1008 of the family's 1478-position model. The record is from RNAcentral.